CCCUUAGAUGUUCUGGGCUGCACGCGCGCUACACUGACCAGUGCAACAAGCAUCCGUCCUUGGCCGACAGGCCCGGGCAAUCUUUGAACGCUGGUCGUGAUGGGGAUAGACUUUUGCAAUUUUUGGUCUUCAACGAGGAAUUCCUAGUAAACGCAAGUCAUCAACUUGCAUUGAUUACGUCCCUGCCCUUUGUACACACCGCCCGUCGCACCUACCGAUUGAAUGGUCCGGUGAAAUCUCGGGACGGCGGCUUGGUCGCUUGCGUCCGACUGCUGAAACUUGAUUAAACCAUAUCAUUUAGAGGAAGGUGAAGUCGUAACA
RNAcentral lists this ribosomal RNA (321 nucleotides) under uncultured eukaryote. RNAcentral's name for it is "partial 18S ribosomal RNA". It matches the Rfam family "Eukaryotic small subunit ribosomal RNA", at positions 1470 to 1796 of the family's 1831-position model. The record is from RNAcentral.